This 253-nucleotide ribosomal RNA is filed under the name uncultured bacterium. RNAcentral's name for it is "partial 16S ribosomal RNA". It matches the Rfam family "Bacterial small subunit ribosomal RNA", at positions 524 to 776 of the family's 1533-position model. The record is from RNAcentral.
GACAGAGGUGCCGAGCGUUAGGCGGAAUCACUGGGCUUAAAGCGUGUGUAGGCGGAUCGUUAAGUGCCUUGUGAAAUCCCACGGCUUAACUGUGGAACGGCUGGGCAUACUGGCGGUCUUGAGCCAUCUAGGGGCGACUGGAACAAACGGUGGAGCGGUGAAAUGCGUAGAUAUCGUAAGGAAGACCAGUGGCGAAGGCGGGUCUCUGGACAGUUCCUGACGCUGAGGCACGAAGGCCAGGGGAGCAAACGGG